Molecule: non-coding RNA, 29 nt
Filed under: Rattus norvegicus (Norway rat)
Lineage: Eukaryota; Metazoa; Chordata; Mammalia; Rodentia; Muridae
Source: RNAcentral
UACUACUAGGAAGCCCAUUUUAGUAAGGC